UAUGAAGGGGGCAAGCGUUACUCGGAAUUACUGGGCGUAAAGCGUGCGUAGGUGGUGCGUUAAGUCUGUCGUGAAAGCCCCGGGCUCAACCUGGGAAUGGCGAUGGAUACUGGCUCGCUAGAGUGCGGUAGAGGAGAGUGGAAUUCCCGGUGUAGCAGUGAAAUGCGUAGAGAUCGGGAGGAACAUCAGUUGCGAAGGCGGCUACCUGGCCCAAUACUGACACUCAGGUGCGACAGCGUGGGGAGCAAACAGG
Molecule: ribosomal RNA, 253 nt
Filed under: uncultured bacterium
Lineage: Bacteria
Description: partial 16S ribosomal RNA
Rfam family: Bacterial small subunit ribosomal RNA
Source: RNAcentral